This is a long non-coding RNA of Homo sapiens (human), 2447 nucleotides long. RefSeq lists it as uncharacterized. The record is from RefSeq and is a predicted model, not a curated record. The transcript has 2 exons. Lineage: Eukaryota; Metazoa; Chordata; Mammalia; Primates; Hominidae.
UCAUACGCCUCACUCUUUACACACACGGUCACUUGCCCCGCGCACUCCCGAGCCCUUUCCAGCCCUGACACACAGCUGGGAUUCUCACUUCCGAUCCGCGGUCCUGAACCCGCUCCCAGGGCACGGGAACUCCUUCGUGGCGAAGCAGCAAGUGGCGAAGCAGCAGCCUCUGCGCUGCCUCAUCUACAUAGAAGUCGCCCUGUCCGUGAUGUCACCGACAGUGCCUUGCCCAGUCCCCGUCUGCCUUUCUGCCACUCAACCGACCAAUCUGCUGCCAGAGCCGCCAAGGGGAAGUGACGUCUGCCUCUCCCUUUUUCCCUCCCGCCCCUGCGUCUGUUCUCUCCCAAAGAAGCUGGUCCUUAGCCUGUGUUAAGGAGCAACCUUUCGGUGGCCAGAUGGAGCCGGGGCAUCCUUCUUCAAAUAAUGGCUUUUAAUUCGCAGACUAGAAUGUUUCGGAUUACAAAAGAAACCGGUUCUCUUCACAUCCUUAUCCUUGUGAUGCAGCAUUCCGCUUGCAAUUGGAAGCCGUUUAAUAUCAGAGAGAAACCAUAUUUAUGAAAGUAAAGAGGCUGCUUAGAUGACUGCAAACCAGCCGUCCUUACUGGUUUUAUCACUGGUAAUGUUAUAAAGACAGUUGUCCAGUUUCAUGAAUCUUGUAGGUUUUUUUUUUUUUGAUGUUGUUUUUUUUUUCAAAAAUCCGUAUUGUAGAAAAAUAUGCUGUCCCAGAAGAGAUGAUUGGACACUCUCAAGCGUGGUGCUGGACUUUGUCAUCUCUUGCACAGCCAUCUCCACACCUUAGUGCUUACCUCAUGUUAGUUUUUUAUAUUCUGCAAAGACGAAACCAAAAUAAUCCAAAUUUGACACAAAUACCUGGGCUACAUCUUAUUUGAGAUGUUUAACAAAUGUCUGGAUCAUCUUUUCUUAUAUAUUACGCAGGAAACACUGUGAAGUAAGCAAAGUUGGAAUGCCCAAGUGAAAGACCAUUUGAAUAUUUACAAGUAGAUUUCAGACAGGAAUACUACAGGGUGGUCACAGGAUAACAAAUUCUAGGCAGCAGAUUUACAUGACUUGAGGCUGUGGGCUGUUAAGACGCUGAAAAACCAGGGUGUGGACCAAGCUGGCUAAGGCUGAGUGGACCCAACGUGGUGCUGGAUUGGAUGGAGGUUUUACCUAGGCCCUCAUUAUAUGCUCAUUAACAUACUAAAUCACACACCCGCCAGUGCCAUGACAGUUCUGAGACCAGUGUUUGAUGUAAAAAUGGCACCACAGUUCCAAGAAAUCUCCACCUUUACCCAGGAAUUUUCGUGAAUAUUCCAAUUCUUGGUUAAAGAAACCCAUCAAGAUGAAACCCCAGAACCCAUUAUUCUCUCUUGGGUAUGCCCAAGCUCCCCUUUCUUGAGUGUGUACUUUUUGCUUUGCAAUAAAUCUCUUCUUUCACUAUCUGCUGACUCAUCUUUGACUUUGUUCUCACGAUGGUGUCAAGAGCCUGGACACCACGGCUGGGGUCGAGAUCCCACCAGUGUCCAGGGACCUCCCCCAGCCCACCAGUAUCAGAUUCUAUUCCAUUGCUCAAAUCACAAAACAUCGAGUGGAGAGUUCUCCUUGGAGAUCAUAAAGUAAAGAUUCUGUGGCAUGGUGGCCAGUUAGGCCACUGGAAGCAUGGCAAAAUAUUGAAAAUGAGGGAUUAGGUGACAGUGUAGUAACUGCUGAAUACUAAAUACUUGAUCCAGGCCCCAUUCCCUGGAGAUUGACAGGGAGACACAUUGUCCAGGUAGUAGUGGAGAAAUGUUUUCUGGGUAUCUGACCAGCCUUUGUGGAAAGAACUGGCACCAUCCUGCAGAUGUAACCGCCUGAUGGGUUCUUCCUGACCAAUGUACACAAAAACUCAAUUCAUGGAGACCAUGGCACUGCAGGAAACGGUUUCAUUGACACAGGCCAGCCACGACAUGUGGGAGACAGAGUUAUUACUCAAAGCAAUCUCACUGAAGGCUUGGAGGUAACAACUAAUGUUGGAAUUAUGAAAAGCUCUUCUCUACUUUUAACAAAGCUUAGUCACAAACAGUUCCCCAGUUGAUGAGAAAAACUAAAACAACAGAACAAUUGAAAGUCCGAAUCUGCAAGUUCAUCUCUGAGAACCGAAUUUUACAGCCACUCCAGAUUUGUACUCCAAAUGGAUAGUUUGAUUGUAGAAAUCACUUCCCUUCAGUCUGCCAAUGUGAUAACUGCCCAAGAGAAAGUGAUGCCUACAUUCGUAGAUAAUCCCCUUUCCCCCAUCCUAUAUAUAACUGGAGUCAACAGUAGCUGGAGGAAAAUGGCAAGAACUUGGAAUCAAGAUUAGGUUAGAAUAACACUGCUGUAGACAGUUUAUCAGCUCUUCAGCAUAUGUCCAUUUUCCUUGAAGGAUGAGCCUUUAGAAACCUCUGACAAUAAAGUUUAUUUUACAUCCA